ACUCCAACAGUGGGGGAGGAGAAAAGGAGGCAAGGGUUGAAAAAUUACCUAUUGGUUACUAUGUUCACUAUUUGGGCGAUAGGUUCAAUAGCAGCUUUAACCCCAGUAUUAUGCAAUAUAUCCAUAUAACAAACCCAUAGAGGUACGCCCUGAGUCUAAAAUAAAUUUUAAAAAAUAUCUUUUAUAUCUCCUGUUGCUAUUUUUAUUUAGACAAGAAUGAGUGUUUAAAUAUUACUUCACUCUCCUCUUGAUUGGCAAGUAAUGGAACAAUCUCAGUGUUUGUCUUCCUGGAUCUUACUGCAGUGUUUGAUCCUCUUUCUUGACAUGCAGUCCUAGCUUUCAUGAUACCAUUUCUCCCAGUUUUCUUUUACCUCCCUGGCCUUUCUCAGUCUCUGUUAAAUGCUCCAGAGAUCCACCCUUGGCAGUCUUUCACCCAAUUCCACUGCUGCAGGUGCUUUAUCAUUGCUACUGACUCCAGCUCAGGCUACUCUACUUGCAUGUUCCUUAGGCACUCCCACCUCAACAAGUUCAAGAUCAUUGUCUAUAACAUUCCCCUCAAACCUGCUCCUCCACCUGUAUAAUCUAGUGUGGUAAGUGGCACCCUAUAAAAUCAUAUAUUUAAGAUGGAAACCUGAGUGCUAUAACAGAUUCCUCCUUUAAAAAAAAUCUGGCUCAGUCAGCUACUCAAUCACUGUCUCAUCAGUUUUGCACCUGUAACCCACUUAUAUCUUGGACUAUUGGCUCUUGUCUCAAUGUGAGCCUUGAAUUGUAAACAUAGACAAAUAAACAGCAGUCUGGAAACAAAAAAAGCAGGACAAAUAAAAAUGAAAACAUUUUAAACUAUUACUUAAUUUUCUAAAGAAUCCCCCCAAAAUAUCCCACACAUAAUGCACAGCGAACUUUGAAAUAUGCUUUUCUCAUUUUUGCCUUUCUCUGUUAUCUUUAUCUAUAGCUACAUGUCUUUCUCCCUCUAUCGUAUACCUGAAGAGCUCCUUUUUUCCCUUUCCCUGAAAAACUUCCUCUCUUCAACCCCAGCUUGUGACUAUCCCCAAACCCAAGAUCUUUUACUACCCCUCUCUUUUGUUGUUUCAUGGUUUACUCUGGACUCUUUCUGAUGUAAAUCAAUUCCAUAACCUUCUGUACCUCUCAGACUUCUCUCUCAUUCCUACUGCUUUUAGCAUCACAAAAGACUAAGAAUUGAGUAGAUUCACAGACGUGUUCUUGGAAAGGAGGGACGUAUUAAAGAGGAAAAAUGCAUUUAUUUCAAAUUUAAUAUUUUUCUUUAUUUACUGUCCAAACCCAGUCAAAUUUCUUUCCCGUUCAUUCCCUUCUCUCCAUUCCUGGCUGUAACAAUUACAGCCCAGUGUCAAGGACUGUGAAAGGACUGAAAUUUCCUCCUAACUGUAAGUGAACAAGACAAACUAUCACAGUUUCAUGGAUGCUGGUAGAAGACUCAAGACCCAGGAGUCAAACACAAAGGACAAUUUAUUGUUCACAAUAUAAGCAGUCGCCAGUGUCAGCAUUAUUGUGUCAUUUUCCCGAGCACCGAUUCCCACAGGAUAAUGCACAGAGAGCCAGAAGACACCUGCAUACACAGUGAGGUGCAGAGCAGGAGAGAUAUCCUGAGUUUAGGGAGGAAAAGCCUUUUAUGAUGGGUCGUAAGCAUGCCUACUCUUUGCUGCAGAGCAGGGGAGAGUUAGAUACUACUGCUAUCUUCCACAGCUGUAAGCACACCUUUCUUUUUUUCUGGAGGAGACACUAUCUAUUAUCUCCCAAUGCUGUUCAAUAUACAAAAACCCUUGAAGAGAUGGUCUGGAACAGAGAGCAAUCAAGGCCUCAUUUACAAGACUUGUAGAAACAUAAAGAGACCCACGAAGGAUUCUCUCUCCUCACCUCCUCAGGACAAUUGACAUUUAUUGUCGGAAUAUUAAAAUAUCUGCCCAAAUGCCCAAGUUGUUCCACGUCUUACCCUCUUCCAACGCAUCCUCCCUCUGCUGCAAGGGUAAUCUUUCAUAAUGCAAGUAGUGUCAUGCAAGUAGCAUUGCUUACAAUUAUUCAAUGACUGCUUAUUUUCUACAAGAUAAUUUCUGUAAUGUGCCACAUAAAACAUUUUUUGAUUUGACAUUUGCCUACCUUUUCAGUCUUCUUUUCCAUCCUGUACUGAAAAUAUUUGGCAUUUAAAACAUGAUUAUAAUCUUGCAUUUAAUAUUAUAAAUAACUUUUGGCGCUACUUCUACAAGGAAAGCAAUUUACAAGUUAUUGGACUUGAGAUGGCCUUUAUAAACGUAUAAGCUAUUCUUAGUAAAGUCCACUUCAAAUUCUAUUUGUACUGUUUGUGUGUAAAUAUGUGUUUUGCUGUGUGUGUUAAUGACAAAGGAAUUUAGAAAGAAAAUUACUCUGUAAGACCAACAAAUAGAAGUACUAUAUAUUCUCUAUUUAUUUAUAUUUUUUCUACAAGUAUUCUAGGCCUUGCAUAGAUCAACUGUAGUCGAACUUGUCUCCUGUCUGAUGCUAACAAUGACCCCUUGCUCUGGUUUGCCACUGGGGUUUAAAACCCCUCUCUCAAGUUCACACAACUGUCCCUUCAGGGGCUUUGCGUUUUUUCUCAGUCUGAGCUCUUUUAGACAAAUGUCAGUUUUUUUGCCAUUAGCCUUGUGAGAAUUCCUGAAAAUAAAUAAACAGCUUGGAGAAGGAGAGCCACUCUGGGAGUGGAGAAUAUGAGUCAGUGCCAUGGUUGGUGGGGGGAGAAAUGAACUUUUAGCUUAUGUUGUGGGUCUCUUACUUUGAGACUUGACACUGGGAGUGGUCUUGGACUCCUGCUUCCUGACAUCUACCCCCAGACUGAAGUCCGUGCCAGGAAAGGGGUGAUAAACCAGAGUUUAUGGGGACCAUUUAUGAUAUAUUGACAUGUUGAGGUGAUCUUUAUAACGAUUUUAAGCUUAUUGAUUUUUAGGAAGGAUUGAAGCAUUUUAUAUCUGUUGCAUCAAGAGAAACCCAGGCCUCCUGUAAAAUGGAUCUAACUCCACUGCCUCCUAUUUCCCAUUACAAUCCAUGAAGGAUUUAUUAUUCCUGCUACUCACUGAGUGACGUCGGAUAAACCCUGGUGUCUAACACAUUCUACUUUCAUCUCUACCCUCAUCAAGAGGGUGACAUUCUUCUCUCAAGGUUAUGGGGAUAUUGGAGGUGAGAGAAGAGUUUAUUCCUGAAUCAUGGAAAUGAACACACUGAAAUCAGAUCUUCCUUCCCGGUGUGGAUUUGUUCCCAGGUGUCAGCCUGCAGAGUUGGGUCACCAACCAGUUGCAAUGAUGCACAGGGAGAAGAUUCUGUCAGGUUCUUGUCUAAGAACAGAGGAGGUCAGAGCCUGGAGACUGGGUCUGGGAUUCUGUCCUGAGGAGACACAGGUUUCCAGAGAAGCAGGUUCACCUUAUGAACAUUGAGGUUUAUGGUAUUGCACUCAACACGAUGAAAAAUACAUGGGAACAGAGACAUCACUUUUUACUGCCAUAUGCAACUUACUGGAGAGAUGAACUGCUCACGUGGAGAUGAUUAGUGUCACAUGGGGUUUCAGGUGGGUACUUAAACACUUGAGCUCAUCACAAUAGCAACAGGAGGUGGCUGCAAAAUUAUCACCGUAGUAUACUACAGUUAUAAUUAUGCAGUUAUUUUUAUGCAGACUACAGUUAAUUUUAUGGAGUUAUGUUUUAAUACUGCAUCUUUACAUUUGUUUACAUUUCUCUUGACUGCAAAUAGUACCAUAUACUGGCUCUGUGUGUAUAAAUUUUAAUAAAUUUUGACUUUUGAUAAUAGAUUUGUGUAUAUUUUAAGGUAGUAAAUGAUAAACUA
Molecule: long non-coding RNA, 3843 nt
Filed under: Homo sapiens (human)
Lineage: Eukaryota; Metazoa; Chordata; Mammalia; Primates; Hominidae
Description: HSALNT0318393
Source: RNAcentral